Molecule: RNA transcript, 3037 nt
Organism: Zootermopsis nevadensis
Lineage: Eukaryota; Metazoa; Arthropoda; Insecta; Blattodea; Termopsidae
Source: RefSeq, a predicted model, not a curated record
CAACCAGCGAUUAACAAACAAUAUCAAUGCGUUACCCGUAGAGAAAUAUUUCAUUUAACCUUUGGUGCACGAAUUAUCCUUGACAGAGUCCAUUUUGAUAUAGGUAUUUGUUGUUGUGUGUGGUGGUGUUCGUUAGGCUACUUAAUGGAAGAAUUAUCUAACCGUGGCGGUUUUCGUGGUGGAGCACGAGGUGGUAGGGGUGGUCCAGGAAGGGGUGGCCCUCCAAGAGGUCGUGGAAGUUUUGGAGAUGGUAUGCGAGGAAGGGGUGGUCGUGGUGGCAUGAUGAGAGGUGGACCUCAAGGUCGAGGAGGUAGAGGUGGCCCCCCAAGGGGUGGUGGUAUGGGCCGUGGAGGAGACCGAGGUUUUGGUGGCCUUGGUGGAAGAGGACGAGGCAUGGGUAUGAGAGGCCGUGGAGACUUUGGUUCAAGGGGAGAUGGACGUGGUGGUGGUGGUGGUUUUGGAGGUAGAGGUCGUGGAGGUCGUGGGAUUGACCGAGGAGGACGUGGAGGUCGUGGUUUUGACAGAGGAGGUCGUGGUGGCGGAGCUCCCAUGGGUGGUGACCGAUACGGACCACCUCCAGCAAAGCGUGGUGGUAUGGUACCACCACAGGGUGGACCAAUGGCCAAGAGAGGUCGAUUUGAAGGAGCACAAGGUGCUAAUGGUUAUUCUGCUCAUCCUCAUCCUUCGAGCCAAUAUUCUGGUGGCGCGUUUGAGGCACGUGGAGUAGCACAGGUUACUAGCUAUCCUCCACCACCCAUCACCUCAGCCUAUGGAGGAGAAGCUGGCCAUACGUACCAAGCUGAUGGAGCAGGGCGCCAUUAUGAUGGGUCAGCUGAGGCUGCGCCAUAUGGAGCAAACCAAACAUAUGGAAGUGGAAGUCAGGCUUAUGGAGGAAGCGGUGGCUACACAAGUGGUGCUGCAGGCUAUGAAGCUGGAGAUUAUGCAGCGGGUGGGUACAGUCAGCCUGUUCCUGAUGCCGGGGCAGGAUAUGGCCCGCCACCGAGCACGGCCGGAGGCGGAUACUCGCAACCAGACACCUACCAGUCCUACAGUAAACCAGCUGCGGCUCCAGAGACCUAUGGAGGAGGUUACACCAGUGGGACAGGAUACAACACAGCCUCUGGCUAUGAUGACAGGGGCUACUCAACAUCAACAAAUACUUAUGAAACACCGGGUUAUGGUGGAGGUUAUGGGAAGGCAGAAUAUGGAACCUGAAUGAUACCAGUGGCGGUCUUGUUCCUAUGUGAGAGCAUGCAUGGCGAGCUGCUUUGCCAUAUGGCAAAGGCAUUCAGUGGCAUUGAGAUAUGCUGUGUUGAUUUGAUGCCAUACAUUGCCGUAUGUUUAGCUUCUGCACAGCUCUGUGUUUGGCUUGGUAGUUGAAAGUACGCCGCGUCCAUCGGCUUUCGGGUAUAGCAGUAUUUGCUUUGUGGUUGCUGAAAUCUCAGAUGCUGGAAGAAAUGGUUACUCUAUGUGGUCAGCAAGUAGUACAGUUUAGUUUCGAUAUAUGUGGCUCACUGUGCAUAGCUUGCAGUCUUUGAAUUGCCAUGUAUAUCGGAAACAGGUAGUCAUUGUUGGAUGACUUGGAUGAAAUGAAUGGUAGAAGUGAUCCCACAAGCGCUACAACUCUGAAAUAAAAUCGUGGAUAUGUGAAAACAUGGCUGACAAAAGUAUGUGUAAUGAGAGUUCUCUGUAUUAUAUUGUAGUUCUGUCAUGGCCGUUUAUUUGCAAGAAUGCAGUGUCAGAAAUUACACUGAUAUUUGUUUUGUUAAGCGACAGGUAUGUGAUAGAGCGUAAUACCAAGCUUUAUGAACUUUGCAUGUAUUUUUCUUAUUUGAAUGAUUUCUUACCUGUCAUGUGGUCCUCUUAGUACCUCCUUAUAUAAGGGUAGUAGUUCAUAAUAGAAUGUAACUACUUUUUGUAGGUCCUUGUUUGACAUUACAGUCUAGUCAGUUGAAAAAUCAUUGUUGUCUUGAUUCUCCCAGUAUGUCUAGUCUCAGGGUAUGCCUCCUUUUCCUGUGUAUUACCCUCUCACUCUUCAACUGUACAUCAUGUGACCUACUUUGUAAUUUUGAAGCAGCUGCCAGAUUGCGUGUGCAGUAAAAGUCUCCAAGUUUAUAUUUUUUUAUUUCAAGGUUAUACCAUAUUUAACCAUAAGAUACAUACCUUAAUUUUUUAUGGUUUUUAAUUUUAAAAAAUAGCUGGUACGCCAUUUUUGUUCAUAAAUGGAGAGAGACAGGUAAGAUAUUUUUCUAUUUGUUCGGCAGUUAUCGCUUCAAAUUUUCAGAUGAGUCCCUAGGAGGACAUUUGAAGUGUGUUUCAUUCCCUGUGGGAUCUUUGCUAAUUCACGUUAUAGAAAAAGGUAUUGCAGCUAUUUAUUCUUUUUAGUUUUUAUCAGCCAGUGCAUCAUUAUCACAUUUCAGAUUAUUUUCUAUCAACGUAAUCUGUUUUGCUAGUUACUUUAUUACAGAUGCAAAUGCAGAAUUACACUAUCCUGAAGCCCGGCAUUUCUUUCCUUGUAUGUCGUUAAAUAUUUGCCUCAUCGAGUAGUUUUUAUAAUAUUUGGUUUUAUAUUUAUAUAUCCUGUGCUAAUUUCUGAAGUUUUUAAUAACACUGAACAGCAAUGUGUGUAAUCAGUCUAAAAAGAAACCCUGUGAUUACGGUAAUUUUAAAUUGAGAGGAUGAAUCCAACGUAAGUAGUGUGGAUGAGCCAAUUGUAUGACCAUAUCUAACAUUUUUAUCAAGAGUUAAUCUGUGAGUACAGUUGAUGCUCUUUUGUUAUUGUUUUUAACCUCAAAAAUUUUGUUUUAUGUUUUUCAAGGAACAGUUAUAUAUGUUUCAGAUGAGUAGAAAAUAAAGGUCAUAGCAGUAUAUCUACUCUGUGCAGUGUUGUCCUCUGGUGAUUUUAUUUCUGCCAUUUCAUAUGAGAAGAACUGGGUGCUUGAAAGGUGAAGCAACGUGUAUGUUCAGAAGAUAUUGUAUUUAUAAAUGUUACUGAUUGUUGGAAAUCUGAAUAUAAAAUAAAGUUCUUCAAAUUGAA